AACGAACGCUGGCGGCAUGCCUAACACAUGCAAGUCGAACGAGACCUUCGGGUCUAGUGGCGCACGGGUGCGUAACGCGUGGGAACCUUCCCUUAGGUUCGGAAUAACUCUCCGAAAGGGGUGCUAAUACCGGAUAAUGUCUUCGGACCAAAGAUUUAUCGCCUUUGGAUGGGCCCGCGUUGGAUUAGCUAGUUGGUAGGGUAAAAGCCUACCAAGGCGACGAUCCAUAGCUGGUCUGAGAGGAUGAUCAGCCACACUGGGACUGAGACACGGCCCAGGCUCCUACGGGAGGCAGCAGUGGGGAAUAUUGGACAAUGGGCGAAAGCCUGAUCCAGCAAUGCCGCGUGAGUGAUGAAGGCCUUAGGGUUGUAAAGCUCUUUUACCCGGGAUGAUAAUGACAGUACCGGGAGAAUAAGCUCCGGCUAACUCCGUG
This 433-nucleotide ribosomal RNA is filed under the name uncultured bacterium. RNAcentral's name for it is "partial 16S ribosomal RNA". It matches the Rfam family "Bacterial small subunit ribosomal RNA", at positions 29 to 507 of the family's 1533-position model. The record is from RNAcentral.